Molecule: non-coding RNA, 83 nt
Organism: Firmicutes bacterium CAG:41
Lineage: Bacteria; Bacillati; Bacillota
Source: Rfam
UGACAAACGAUGAAGCGGGAGGUUGCGGCGAUUUAACGUCGGUUUUUCUGUGGAGUGAGUCCGAUUCAUGAAACCGGGCGGCA